GUGUAGUUUGAAAGGAGAGCCAGUUAGCACUCCCCUCGACAAGGAUGGAAUCACAUUUAGGCCGGGAUAGGCACAGACAAAGUCCCGGUCGCCAAUUUUUUUCGUUUCAAGAAGGCAUUUUUAUUUUUUUUU
Molecule: small nuclear RNA, 132 nt
Organism: Musca vetustissima
Lineage: Eukaryota; Metazoa; Arthropoda; Insecta; Diptera; Muscidae
Source: RefSeq, a predicted model, not a curated record